GACAGAGGGUGCAAACGUUGCUCGGAAUCACUGGGCGUAAAGGGCGUGUAGGCGGGAAGGAAAGUCAGAUGUGAAAUCCCCAGGCUCAACCUGGGAACUGCAUUUGAAACUCCCUUUCUUGAGUGCCGGAGAGGAAAGUGGAAUUCCUGGUGUAGAGGUGAAAUUCGUAGAUAUCAGGAGGAACACCAGUGGCGAAGGCGGCUUUCUGGACGGUGACUGACGCUGAGACGCGAAAGCGUGGGGAGCAAACAGG
RNAcentral lists this ribosomal RNA (253 nucleotides) under uncultured bacterium. RNAcentral's name for it is "partial 16S ribosomal RNA". It matches the Rfam family "Bacterial small subunit ribosomal RNA", at positions 524 to 776 of the family's 1533-position model. The record is from RNAcentral.